This 253-nucleotide ribosomal RNA is filed under the name uncultured bacterium. RNAcentral describes it as "partial 16S ribosomal RNA". It matches the Rfam family "Bacterial small subunit ribosomal RNA", at positions 524 to 776 of the family's 1533-position model. The record is from RNAcentral.
GACAGAGGGGGCAAGCGUUGCUCGGAAUUACUGGGCGUAAAGGGCGCGUAGGCGGGAUGGCAAGUCGGUCGUGAAAUCCCUCGGCUCAACUGAGGAUCGUCGAUCGAUACUGCCGUUCUUGAGGAUUGCAGAGGAGACUGGAAUUCCCGGUGUAGCGGUGAAAUGUGUAGAGAUCGGGAGGAACACCGGUGGCGAAGGCGGGUCUCUGGGCAAUUCCUGACGCUGAGGCGCGAAAGCGUGGGGAGCGAACGGG